AGUGAACGCUGGCGGUGGGCCUAAUACAUGCAAGUCGAACGGAAGGACAGUAAGCGUUCGUCUCUACGGGUGGCGGGUGGCGGGUGGGUGAGGAAUAGAUAGGCAUCCACUUAUACGUGGGGGACAUCGUGGGGACACUUACGAUAAUACAGCAUAUGUUUUACGGCUGAGAUCAAAAGAUCAUGGCAGUCUGCGUGAUACAUUGAGACGGUGCCGGAUUAGCUAGUUGGCAAGGUAAAGGAACACCAAGGCAACGAACCAUAGCUGACCUGAGAGGGUGAUCGGCCACACUGGAACUGAGACACGGUCCAGACUCCUACGGGAGGCAGCAGUAGGGAAUAUUGCGCAAUGGGCGCAAGCCUGACGGAGCAACGCCGCGUGAGUGAUGAAGGUCUUCGGAUCGUAAAACCCUGUUAUUAGGGAAGAAAAUAUGUGUAAGUAACUGUGCACAUCCUGACGGUACCUAAUCAGAAAGCAACGGCUAACUACGUG
This 492-nucleotide ribosomal RNA is filed under the name uncultured bacterium. Its description in RNAcentral is "partial 16S ribosomal RNA". It matches the Rfam family "Bacterial small subunit ribosomal RNA", at positions 29 to 507 of the family's 1533-position model. The record is from RNAcentral.